GAGUUUGAUCCUGGCUCAGGACGAACGCUGGCGGCGUGCCUAACACAUGCAAGUCGAACGGAGCUUAGAGAGCUUGCUUUUUAAGCUUAGUGGCGGACGGGUGAGUAACGCGUGAGGAACCUGCCUUUCAGAGGGGGACAACAGUUGGAAACGACUGCUAAUACCGCAUGAUAUAUUCGGAUGGCAUCGUCUGAAUAUCAAAGAUUUAUCGCUGAAAGAUGGGCUCACGUCUGAUUAGUUAGUUGGUGAGGUAACGGCUCACCAAGACUGCGAUCAGUAGCCGGACUGAGAGGUUGAACGGCCACAUUGGGACUGAGAUACGGCCCAGACUCCUACGGGAGGCAGCAGUGGGGAAUAUUGGGCAAUGGGCGAAAGCCUGACCCAGCAACGCCGCGUGGAGGAAGAAGGUUUUCGGAUUGUAAACUAUUGUCGUUAGGGAAGAUAAAAGACAGUACCUAAGGAGGAAGCUCCGGCUAACUACGUGCCAGCCGCCGCGGUAAUAC
Molecule: ribosomal RNA, 503 nt
Filed under: uncultured bacterium
Lineage: Bacteria
Description: bacterial SSU rRNA
Rfam family: Bacterial small subunit ribosomal RNA
Source: RNAcentral